ACAUAACUCUGGAGAGAUCCAUAUAAAGGACGCCGAAGGGGCAGGGGUGCAGGGAAGAGUAGUCGUUGCAUUCUAAUCUCUCAGGCAAAAGGACAGAGUCGG
RNAcentral lists this non-coding RNA (102 nucleotides) under uncultured Dialister sp. RNAcentral's name for it is "Glycine riboswitch". It matches the Rfam family "Glycine riboswitch aptamer". Rfam says of the family: This family represents the bacterial glycine riboswitch. Glycine riboswitches usually consist of two metabolite-binding aptamers domains with similar structures in tandem. The record is from RNAcentral. Lineage: Bacteria; Bacillati; Bacillota; Negativicutes; Veillonellales; Veillonellaceae.